AAAGCCGGAUUAAUACCGCAUCCGCUCUGUGGAGGAAAGCGGGGGAUCUUUCGGGACCUCGCGCUCAAGGGGCGGCCGAUGGCAGAUUAGGUAGUUGGUGGGGUAAAGGCCUACCAAGCCGACGAUCUGUAGCUGGUCUGAGAGGACGACCAGCCACACUGGGACUGAGACACGGCCCAGACUCCUACGGGAGGCAGCAGUGGGGAAUUUUGGACAAUGGGCGCAAGCCUGAUCCAGCAAUGCCGCGUGUGUGAAGAAGGCCUUCGGGUUGUAAAGCACUUUUGUCCGGAAAGAAAACCUCUGGGUUAAUACCCUGGGGGGAUGACGGUACCGGAAGAAUAAGCACCGGCUAACUACGUGCCAGCAGCCGCGGUAAUACGUAGGGUGCGAGCGUUAAUCGGAAUUACUGGGCGUAAAGCGUGCGCAGGCGGUGAUGU
This 437-nucleotide ribosomal RNA is filed under the name Burkholderia sp. Mb348PL. RNAcentral's name for it is "bacterial SSU rRNA". It matches the Rfam family "Bacterial small subunit ribosomal RNA", at positions 154 to 584 of the family's 1533-position model. Lineage: Bacteria; Pseudomonadati; Pseudomonadota; Betaproteobacteria; Burkholderiales; Burkholderiaceae. The record is from RNAcentral.